RNAcentral lists this ribosomal RNA (254 nucleotides) under uncultured bacterium. Its description in RNAcentral is "partial 16S ribosomal RNA". It matches the Rfam family "Bacterial small subunit ribosomal RNA", at positions 524 to 776 of the family's 1533-position model. The record is from RNAcentral.
CACGUAGGGGGCGAGCGUUGCCCGGAAUCAUUGGGCGUAAAGAGCUCGUAGGCGGCUCGGUAAGUCGGGUGUGAAACCCCCAGGCUCAACCUGGGGACGCCACCCGAUACUGCUGUGGCUAGAGUCCAGUAGGGGAGUGUGGGAUUCCCGGUGUAGCGGUGAAAUGCGCAGAUAUCGGGAGGAACACCAGCGGCGAAGGCGGCACUCUGGGCUGGAACUGACGCUGAGGAGCGAAAGCGUGGGUAGCAAACAGG